RNAcentral lists this ribosomal RNA (484 nucleotides) under uncultured bacterium. Its description in RNAcentral is "partial 16S ribosomal RNA". It matches the Rfam family "Bacterial small subunit ribosomal RNA", at positions 29 to 507 of the family's 1533-position model. The record is from RNAcentral.
AUUGAACGCUGGCGGCAUGCUUUACACAUGCAAGUCGAACGGCAGCGCGGGCUUCGGCCUGGCGGCGAGUGGCGAACGGGUGAGUAAUACAUCGGAACGUGCCCAGUAGUGGGGGAUAGCUCGGCGAAAGCCGGAUUAAUACCGCAUACGACCUGAGGGUGAAAGCGGGGGAUUUUCGGACCUCGCGCUAUUGGAGCGGCCGAUGGCAGAUUAGCUAGUUGGUGGGGUAAAGGCCUACCAAGGCGACGAUCUGUAGCUGGUCUGAGAGGACGACCAGCCACACUGGGACUGAGACACGGCCCAUACUCCUACGGGAGGCAGCAGUGGGGAAUGUUGGACAGUAGGCGAGAGCCUGAUCCAGCAAUGCCGCGUGUGUGAUGAAGACCUUCGGGUUGUAAAGCACUUUUGGCGGGAACGAAAAGGACUGUGCCAAUACCACGGUUCAAUGACGGUACCCGCAGAAUAAGCACCGGCUAACUACGUG